Pelobates cultripes (western spadefoot toad) is the source of this 943-nucleotide non-coding RNA. NCBI's taxonomy places the organism in Eukaryota, Metazoa, Chordata, Amphibia, Anura, Pelobatidae. The record is from the annotation of a GenBank genome assembly.
GUUCUUUUUUUAUUAGAUAUAUAUAUAUAUAUAUAUACUCAUUAAUAUAUACACCGGGUAGAGUGAUUUUUGGGACCACUGUUUUUUACUUUUACACUGUUUUAUACUUGUACAUUUUUGCGCUGGACACUACUUUUUAUUGCUUGGUUCUAUUAUACAUUUGGUGGAAUAUUUAGUGAUUGGUUCCACAGUGUUCACAGCUGCAUGUGUUUUUAGCGCCUAUUUUAUUGCACAAUUUUUGCAUAUUGCUUGUUUUACUAUCAGCACAAAACCAGUGUGGCUUCAUGGAAUGUGAUUCCAUGGCCAAGCGGCUGCAUACAAGCCUCACAUGACCAAGUACAAUGCCAAGCUUUGGAUCAAAUGGUGUAAAGCACGCUGCCAUUGAGCUCUGGAGCAGUGGAAACGUGGGCUCUGGAGAGACGAAUCGCACUUCUCUGUUUGUAAGUCUGAUGGGUGAGUCUUAAUUUGGAGGAAUCUGGGAGAACGUGACGUGUCUGACUUCAUUGUACCAACUGUAAGGUUUGCUGGAGGUAGGAUAAGUGUAUGAGGAUGUUUUUCAAGGGUUGGGUAGUCUCCUUACAUCCAGUGAAGGGAAAUCUUAAUGCGUCAGUAUACCAAGACAGUUUCGACAAUGCUAUUCAUCCAACUUUGUGGGAACAGUUUGGGGAAAGCCUUUUUCUAUUCCAGUAUGAUUGUACCUCAGUGCACACUUGGUGUUGAAGAAUUUGAAUGGCCCGCACAGAGGCCUGACCUCUACCCUAUCGAACAUCUUUGGGAUGAACUGGAAUGAAGAUUGUGAGCUACGCCUACUUGUCCAACAUCACAAAACAACACAAAUACUCUACUAGAUGAAACUCCCACAAAAAUACUCUAAUGGAAAAAUCUUAUGGAAGGUCUUCCCAGAAGAGUGGAAGCUGUUAUAGCUGCAAAGAAGGGAUCAAUU